Molecule: ribosomal RNA, 433 nt
Filed under: uncultured bacterium
Lineage: Bacteria
Description: partial 16S ribosomal RNA
Rfam family: Bacterial small subunit ribosomal RNA
Source: RNAcentral
AACGAACGCUGGCGGCAGGCUUAACACAUGCAAGUCGAGCGCAUCCUUCGGGGUGAGCGGCGGACGGGUGAGUAACGCGUGGGAACGUGCCCUCUUCUACGGAAUAGCCUCGGGAAACUGAGAGUAAUGCCGUAUACGCCCGCAAGGGGAAAGAUUUAUCGGAGGAGGAUCGGCCCGCGUUGGAUUAGGUAGUUGGUGGGGUAACGGCCUUCCAAGCCGACGAUCCAUAGCUGGUUUGAGAGGAUGAUCAGCCACACUGGGACUGAGACACGGCCCAGACUCCUACGGGAGGCAGCAGUGGGGAAUCUUGGACAAUGGGGGCAACCCUGAUCCAGCCAUGCCGCGUGAUCGAUGAAGGCCUUAGGGUUGUAAAGAUCUUUCAGCUGGGAAGAUAAUGACGGUACCAGCAGAAGAAGCCCCGGCUAACUCCGUG